AGCAGCCGCGGUAAUUCCAGCUCCAAUAGCGUAUAUUAAAGUUGUUGCAGUUAAAAAGCUCGUAGUUGAAUUUCGAGACCGGCUUACUGGUCGUGCUUUUGUACGUACUGGUAUAAUCGGUUUCUCCUUUCUGACGAACUAUAAUGCCAUUAAUUUGGUGUUAUAGGGAAUCAGGACUGUUACUUUGAAAAAUUAGAGUGUUUAAAGCAGGCUCACGCUUGAAUACAUUAGCAUGGAAUAACGGAAUAGGACGUUUGAUUCUAUUUUGUUGGUUUCUAGGAUCGACGUAAUGAUUAAUAGGGAUAGUUGGGGGCAUUAGUAUUCAAUUGUCAGAGGUGAAAUUCUUGGAUUUAUUGAAGACUAACUACUGCGAAAGCAUUUGCCAAGGAUGUUUUCAUUAAUCAAGAACGAAAGUUAGGGGAUCGAAGACGAUCAGAUACCGUCGUAGUCUUAACCAUAAACUAUGCCGACUAGGGAUCGGAUGAUGUUAAUUUUUAAUGACUCAU
This 506-nucleotide ribosomal RNA is filed under the name uncultured Glomus. Its description in RNAcentral is "SSU rRNA". It matches the Rfam family "Eukaryotic small subunit ribosomal RNA", at positions 569 to 1079 of the family's 1831-position model. Lineage: Eukaryota; Fungi; Glomeromycota; Glomeromycetes; Glomerales; Glomeraceae. The record is from RNAcentral.